This 316-nucleotide ribosomal RNA is filed under the name uncultured Actinomycetes bacterium. Its description in RNAcentral is "bacterial SSU rRNA". It matches the Rfam family "Bacterial small subunit ribosomal RNA", at positions 1024 to 1339 of the family's 1533-position model. Lineage: Bacteria; Bacillati; Actinomycetota; Actinomycetes. The record is from RNAcentral.
ACACUGGUGAACAGGUGGUGCAUGGUUGUCGUCAGCUCGUGUCGUGAGAUGUUGGGUUAAGUCCCGCAACGAGCGCAACCCUCGUUCUAUGUUGCCAGCACGUAAUGGUGGGAACUCAUGGGAUACUGCCGGGGUCAACUCGGAGGAAGGUGGGGAUGACGUCAAAUCAUCAUGCCCCUUAUGUCUUGGGCUUCACGCAUGCUACAAUGGCCGGUACAAAGGGCUGCAAUACCGUGAGGUGGAGCGAAUCCCAAAAAGCCGGUCCCAGUUCGGAUUGAGGUCUGCAACUCGACCUCAUGAAGUCGGAGUCGCUAGU